RNAcentral lists this unclassified non-coding RNA (288 nucleotides) under Hevea brasiliensis (rubber tree). Lineage: Eukaryota; Viridiplantae; Streptophyta; Magnoliopsida; Malpighiales; Euphorbiaceae. The record is from RNAcentral.
AAUUCAUCAGUGAAACGAAGAUGGCGGAAUUGAGAGGACUGAAGCUGGAGCAGAGGCAUGGGAAAUCCAGAGUGAGAGUAGCUAGGGUUUGGAGAGAUCGAGAUGGAAAACAUCACUUUGCUGAAUGGAGCGUUAACAUCAGUCUCAUCUCCGAUUGUUUACCUGCAUAUGUCUCCGGCGAUAAUUCCGAUAUCGUCGCCACCGAUACCAUGAAGAACACUGUAUAUGCGAAAGCUAAGGAAUCUUCAGCUGAAAGUUUCUCUGAACAUUCCUUAGCUUUCGCAUAUA